Molecule: ribosomal RNA, 497 nt
Filed under: uncultured bacterium
Lineage: Bacteria
Description: partial 16S ribosomal RNA
Rfam family: Bacterial small subunit ribosomal RNA
Source: RNAcentral
GAUGAACGCUGGCGGCGUGCCUAAUACAUGCAAGUCGAGCGAACGGACGAGAAGCUUGCUUCUCUGAUGUUAGCGGCGGACGGGUGAGUAACACGUGGAUAACCUACCUAUAAGACUGGGAUAACUUCGGGAAACCGUAGCUAAUACCGGAUAAUAUUUUGAACCGCAUGGUUCAAAAGUGAAAGACGGUCUUGCUGUCACUUAUAGAUGGAUCCGCGCUGCAUUAGCUAGUUGGUAAGGUAACGGCUUACCAAGGCAACGAUGCAUAGCCGACCUGAGAGGGUGAUCGGCCACACUGGAACUGAGACACGGUCCAGACUCCUACGGGAGGCAGCAGUAGGGAAUCUUCCGCAACGGGCGAAAGCCUGACGGAGCAACACCGCGUGAGUGAUGAAGGUCUUCGGAUCGUAAAACUCUGUUAUUAGGGAAGAACAUAUGUGUAAGUAACUGUGCACAUCUUGACGGUACCUAAUCAGAAAGCCACGGCUAACUACGUG